Molecule: non-coding RNA, 74 nt
Filed under: Chitinophaga eiseniae
Lineage: Bacteria; Pseudomonadati; Bacteroidota; Chitinophagia; Chitinophagales; Chitinophagaceae
Description: Fluoride sequence
Rfam family: Fluoride riboswitch aptamer (crcB RNA motif)
Source: RNAcentral
UGCGACACAGGAAAUGGUGUCUUCCUGCUCAGAACCGUUCCGGGUCCUCCGGAACUGAUGGCGCCUACAAAACA